GAUAAUUUCCGAUAGUGAAAACUGAAUAUUAAGGAAUUAUAACCCCUUAUAAAUCUGGGUUUCAUGAGAUUGUUGAUAAAUACAACUCAAUGAUUUAUAAGUGAAGAAAAAAGAUGCAUGAAACAAAAAUCACAGGUACAAAAGUCACAGAUCACAAAGCCAUGGCAAACAUGAAGACUAAGUUUAUGGCUUUAUGGGAUGGGUUUUCUACUGAUCCGAAUGUGAGUACUCGCCUGUGGAUUGAGAUGGUCAAGGGAAUCAGAUAAGGUGGAAGCAGCUACUUUGUGUAUUUUUUUUGUUCGAAAAAAGUCAACGAAGAUAUUUAGAACAUGUUGAUCUAAGGGAAAGAGUUUCGAUAGUAAACAUUGAAUUUUCAAAAAAUUAUAAACCUUUAUAAAUCUGGGUUCAAGUAAUUUUAAGAUUUUCGUUCCUCUGUUAUCCAAAAAAAACAAAUAAGGUUAAUUUAGACUUGUCAUUUGAAUAGUUCUAGUUAGCAGAAAGAUUUUCGGAUAGUGAACAUUGCAUUUUAAAGAAUUAUAACCUCUUAUAAAUCUGGAGUUUAGGAUAUUGUCUAUAGUACAACUCAGUGCAAUACAAGGUUUUAUAAAUAAAGGUUGUAAACAGGAGUUGAUCAUAUAUGUCUAUAAAAAACAUAUAAAUGUGUGAAUUUGAAAAAUCUCGUCUUUUAUCAUAUAUUCUUUGUAAGGCUGUUGUCGAAAUACAUGAACAUUAUGAUUGGAUAAAGUAUUUUUAGACCAGGAUUGAAAGUUAACAUCAUCUUUUUAUUUCAUCUUGCAGUUAGCAAUGAAUUGCACAUCUUUGAAAUUGCCUCUGAGUAUUUAUGAAGCUGGAACAGAACCAGUAGACAAUCCAAAAGUGAUUAUCCAAUCGGUAUCUUUGUCAAUAAUGUGAAGUGUUUAUAAAAGAUUAUAAAUGUAGUUUUAUAGGAGUUUAUAAAAUUAUAAAUUAGAGAUUUGUAGAGACUUAUAAAACGUUGUUUAUUCUUUGUUACAUCUUGUGGUUAAUACAGUGUUUGGAUUCCCCGAGGAAUACAAACAUUUCGUGAA
Long non-coding RNA from Brassica rapa (field mustard), 1067 nucleotides. RefSeq lists it as uncharacterized. The record is from RefSeq and is a predicted model, not a curated record. Lineage: Eukaryota; Viridiplantae; Streptophyta; Magnoliopsida; Brassicales; Brassicaceae.